This 497-nucleotide ribosomal RNA is filed under the name uncultured bacterium. RNAcentral's name for it is "partial 16S ribosomal RNA". It matches the Rfam family "Bacterial small subunit ribosomal RNA", at positions 28 to 507 of the family's 1533-position model. The record is from RNAcentral.
GAUGAACGCUGGCGGCGUGCCUAAUACAUGCAAGUCGAGCGAACAGAUAAGGAGCUUGCUCCUUUGACGUUAGCGGCGGACGGGUGAGUAACACGUGGGUAACCUACCUAUAAGACUGGAAUAACUCCGGGAAACCGGGGCUAAUGCCGGAUAACAUUUAGAACCGCAUGGUUCUAAAGUGAAAGAUGGUUUUGCUAUCACUUAUAGAUGGACCCGCGCCGUAUUAGCUAGUUGGUAAGGUAACGGCUUACCAAGGCAACGAUACGUAGCCGACCUGAGAGGGUGAUCGGCCACACUGGAACUGAGACACGGUCCAGACUCCUACGGGAGGCAGCAGUAGGGAAUCUUACGCAAUGGGCGAAAGCCUGACGGAGCAACGCCGCGUGAGUGAUGAAGGUCUUCGGAUCGUAAAACUCUGUUAUUAGGGAAGAACAAAUGUGUAAGUAACUGUGCACGUCUUGACAGUACCUAAUCAGAAAGCCACGGCUAACUACGUG